CAGGGAAUUGCCUCAGUAACGGCGAGUGAGCGGCAAAAGCUCAAAUUUGAAAUCUAGCACCUUCGGUGUUCGAGUUGUAAUUUGAAGAUGGUAACCUUGGGUUUGGCUCUUGUCUAUGUUCCUUGGAACAGGACGUCAUAGAGGGUGAGAAUCCCGUCUGAUGAGAUGCCCAUUCCUAUGUAAGGUGCUAUCGAAGAGUCGAGUUGUUUGGGAAUGCAGCUCUAAGUGGGUGGUAAAUUCCAUCUAAAGCUAAAUAUUGGCGAGAGACCGAUAGCGAACAAGUACAGUGAUGGAAAGAUGAAAAGAACUUUGAAAAGAGAGUGAAAAAGUACGUGAAAUUGUUGAAAGGGAAGGGCAUUAGAUCAGACUUGGUGUUUUACGAUUAUCUUCUCUUCUUGAGUUGUGCACUCGUAUUUCACUGGGCCAGCAUCGAUUCGGAUGGCAAGAUAAUGGCAGUUGAAUGUGGCUUCACUUCGGUGGAGUGUUAUAGCUUCUGCUGAUAUUGCCUGUCUGGAUCGAGGGCUGCGUCUUUUGACUAGGAUGCUGGCGUAAUGAUCUAAUGCCGCCCGUCUUAAAAACACGGACCA
RNAcentral lists this ribosomal RNA (587 nucleotides) under Hansenula anomala. Its description in RNAcentral is "LSU rRNA". It matches the Rfam family "Eukaryotic large subunit ribosomal RNA", at positions 69 to 668 of the family's 3401-position model. Lineage: Eukaryota; Fungi; Ascomycota; Saccharomycetes; Phaffomycetales; Wickerhamomycetaceae. The record is from RNAcentral.